UUUUGUCUAGCUGCAAGUUCAUUGUCCCAAACUCACUUCAAGAGGAAGGAUGCACUCCCAGUCACCACCUCCAACACCACGCUGGUUUCCAGUCCCGGUUGCAGACUCCCUGCUGUGCUCUGCGCAGCUCAAGAGACACGUUUCUGACUGCAUUUAGCGGUAAGACAUCCUCCCUUUGACCCAACCAUGGGGAAGAAGAAGUUCUUUUAUCUAUCUGAGGCUGUUUAAAGUUGGAAAACUCCAUGUGAAACCUCCGUCCUUCAGCAAGAACACUCCUUUGGUGCACUGGGGAAAUUUAGUAGCAGAGAUAACCUGCUGCAUCUUGCAGAGCCACGGACUUUUUGUGCCCAGAGACACAGAAGACCAGAUCCCCCAGCUCUGGGGUCCCUGCCAGCUCUCCCUGCAGGCUGACGGAGGGUCCUGCUGCAGAAGUACAUUCUCCAAUUGUUAUUUCAUUAGCAUGUGUUUUAUAGCAUCGUAAUGCCAAGUGCUAUUUUUGGCUAUGACUUCACACCAGUGCCUUUGGAAAGCCACAGAACACAAGGAGAAGGAGUGAGGAAACAACCCAGAUGAUCUGUCGUUACAGCUUGAGCAUGUGGGAAGCAUCAUCCCCGCUGCCUCCACGCAGAUACAAUCUAGUCAUCAAACAGUGAUUCAUGCUCCAGGUUUUGCCUAUAUGGCCACGUCCUCUGGACCAAAGUCUGAGAUGGAAACGAUCCCGAGGAGCUGGAAAUGUCACUGGGAGGCAGGUGGUGGUCUGACUGGUUGGAAGCAAGAGAUGGCAAGAUGAUUGUGGAGGAACGGAGGGAGGGUGAGGUCUGACAGAGGAACAGAUUUAUGGUUCUUCUGCCUCAGGAGAACAAAUAAGAGGAUGUGUUGCUGAGGAAAUGGGUGGCAGGUGGUACUGUCAGCCCUUCAAAACAAGCAGAAAUAUUAAGGCGCUGAGAAAAAUCUGAUUGAGAACUGAAUAUAACUCCAGUCUCGUUUGCAGAGGCUCACAGAGCUGCCAGAUCGUGACAGACACACUGAGCUCUGCCUUUGUGAGUGCAGAAAAGAAAACUGCACACGCACCUUCUUGAAUGUCUCAUGCGAAAUGAAGACUUGGGUCAUUCUUUAGGACUGGAUUUUAGAUCAUCUGUCUGCACCUUGUAAAUAGGAAGGAUGAGUGGACUGUAACUGACACCGAGAUAGCUAUGAAGUGGCCUACAGGCAUGUGACAGCAAAAAAAAAACAACAACAAAAAGGAAAACCAAGGGCAUAAAUGAACAGGUCCUGCUGAGUGUGGCUUUUUCUGGAAGUGACAGUCCGUUGUGUUGCAGAUUUUGAACUCUCUGCACGCUGCUGUGAAGUACAGUCUGCACUACCGUGGAGGUUUUGUACGUCAUUAAUGCUUUGUCUGUGUCCUGCUGAGAGGCCUACCACUUUUCUCUCGGUGUGGCAGCCACUGUGGACAAUGAACUGAUUGUAACGUAGGAAAAGCAACCGAUGCAGAUGGCUGAGAUUCCAGGUCUUAACCCUCUGUGAGAGGGAGAGAAGAUCUCAAGAUUGUCCAGAGCUCCAAUUCAAGUGGAAAGAGGACAAAACCACUGCAUGUAGUGAUGCUUCCACUUUGGCUUUAGGCUGUGUGUAACCAGGCAGGGAGCAUCUGCAAGGAUCGGACUGUGCAUCCUCAGCCUCAUGGGAUGAUGGGCAACAGCAAGGCAAUGCAGAUGCUGCUCAGUGCAGCUGUUCCAAGUUCAGCAUCGUGGCUCUUCCGCCUUUGCCUAAUGAGCAAAGCAUGGAAGCAAGAUGUCUGCACUGUAUCACUGAGGGGGACUGAAUGAUGCCUUGCCCUGAGCAUUCAGACACUGGUGCACCUCCUGACUCAUGAGAGUCAUGCAGCAGGUCAGCCUGGUGCUGCUGUGUGUAAGGCCUUGGAAGGAAACAAGACCACCCUUUGGUGCUGGCUGGAAGAUGUACGAUGUCGUCCUCCUCCCAUAACACCACAGGCUGCAUUGAGAUCAUCUGCAAACUGCUUCUGCAGGUACCAACUUCAGAACUGCUUAGGGAAGGUUAGUUGCACAGGGGGACUUGCAAACAGCCAACACUUGUGCUGACAGGAGAGUUAAAAGGCAACGAAACACAUCUGACAGGCACACUCUUUCCUUGCACAAGGCUCUGGGAAGAGAGCAUUUGUCAGAAGGGAUGAAGUGGGUACAUGGCUGGCCGUGUUGUGCUGCCUGCAAAAAGGUCUUCGGUGCCUUCAAACGCCACUUACUAUCAAAUCAUGAAAAAUGCUUAGAAGCCAGUGUUGAUGCAAACAGAGCUUAAAAAAAAUCUGGUAAGGUUCCAUUGCUAAGCACUUUGACUCUAACCCUGUGGUUGGACAUGUGUGGGCAGAUGCUCGUGUUCCUGCUGAGCCCCUCAGACUACAGAGGAAGCACACACAGGGUUGUAAGCCAGCUGUUUGCCUGAGGUUUUGCUGGAUGGGGUCUUAGUGUGGGGUUUUGAAAGGCAGCUGGAUGAUUUUAAUCCAUGUAUCCAUUAAUUCUCACCAGAACUGUAACGCACAGGUGACUUUUGACACUUCUGUCACUUUCUUGUUUACCAAGUACUGGGUAAAUGUUUCAAUUUUUCAGUUUUUUUCCAGCCAUUCUCACUCUUUCAUCCCACUAUAUCCUACCUUGUUAACAAAUUUUCACAGAAUCACUAAGAUUAGAAAAGACCACUAUGAUAAUCAAGUCAACCAUGUCUCUCAGCGCCAUACCUUUAUGUUUCUUGAACACCUCCAGCAACAGUGACUCCACCACUUCCCUGGGCCCCAGCUAUUUCUGUCAAGCCCUUGGCUUCGAUGAACUAGACACCAGCCAGAUAAAGGAGAAGCUUUGGAUGGAAAUACUCAGAAAUCCAUGGGAUUUGCAUAGGUCCCACUACUACUACUACUGCAUAUGCACUGAACCUUGGAGAAUCCAAAACUGAAUGAGUCACCCAAAAAUGAAAAAAAAAAAAAAUUGUUUAACUGAAUCUUGAAUUUCAAUCAGAUCUUUCUAAUGGCAAAAUGAACAUUAAAUGACAGCUGAACAGUUGGUUUUAGAGCCUGGGACGUGUGGUGUGUGUGCAUGCCAGCUUUUUCUUGUGGUGAUGGGAACAUAGUGAACACAAAUCCUGCAAGGUGGGUGACAGUAACCCCAAGUCUUUUCAGUGACAAAAGACAACUGCCUUCUUUGUUAAAUACAGCGCUGCUAAAAAAUGCCCCAGAAGUUUGUCCUGAUGGAGAGGCUGUUUUUCCUUCUAUCAGUGCUCCAUGUCAGAGCUGUGCUCUCAAGAGACGUCUGUUCCUGAAAGGUCCCUUCACUUCCAUGCCUUCCAAGGUCAUGCUUCAAUGCCAGACUUGAAGACGUUAAAUGUCAGCCAACAGUGGGGCAGUUUGUUAAGCACACUGAGAGUCGAAGUAAAUUGCCUUUUCCUGCCCUUGCUGUGCGAGCUUAAAAAUGUAAAGAAAUUCCAGCAACUUGCUACCAAAUUUAGUAUUACCUGGCCUGCUCUUCUGAUACAGUGACUUCUGCAUAUAUGCCCAGUGUUCCCUGCCUAUCGCAUGGGUUACGUUGUCUGUUCUUUGCCAUUGCAGCUUUUAUUAAGUGUCUCUUGGGCUGAGUCCCGCUGAGUCAAUGGAAAAGUACUGUUGCUGCACUGGAAGCAGGAACUGGCUGUUGGGUUCUUUCUGGUCUGAACUCGACACUGGUUGUAAUUCACAACAUAUGCAGCGAGACGGGUAGUAAUAGUCCAGUAACAAGUGUUACCUUUUACCCUUACAAGGUAAAUUAGCAUAUGUGUAUGUGUGUCUAUCUCCUCUAUGUUCUGUUGUGCUCUGCUUUCAGAGUUCCUUCUUUAGGACUGUAGUGACGCUUUGCACAGAAGAUCUGAGAGUUGCCACUUUCAGUAGGAAAAGAAAUGCUAAGCUUUGUCAGAUGUUUGAACCAGUGUUCGAGGUCAGCCAGACUAGAGGAAAAUGCUUGUUGGGAGUUCUGCCCUGUUAAUGAAUUGUGGCAGUUCUGCACUCGUUAGGUGUCAGCCCAAUAUUAGCUGGCACUCCUGUGGCUAUCUAGGUAGCAUAUGGCUAAUGUGAUCCAGCACCACAUGACAGCCAAGUUCAGGACACUGGAACUCUCAGAUCACCAGGGCUGAGUUCUCCCUUGCUUUGAAGGCGAGAUCACGGGCUGCACGUAGAGAUGAGUGAAGAUGUUUGCUGCUAAUCCUGUUGGCUGGGAUGUCUUGGCCUCAUCCCAGAUGCAAGAGUUUUUGCUUAUCUCAUACGUGGAUGAGGAAAGUAGGGGAAAAAGAAAAAAAAAAGUGCUGCAGAAAGAAGCCUUCAGAAGUACUAAGUGCUGGAGAAACUAUUCUGUGGUCAUAAAGUACUGUCCUGCACCAGAUCCUGAUGCACUUACUGACUGUGAACAUGACUGCAGACCCAGGACAGCCAAGUGCUAGCCCACACAGCUGAGGUUGUCAGGAUCUGGCCCCGUGCAGAUCGUUUCUUUCAGUGAGUGGCAAUCUCUCCUCUGAUCCAUGUGGACAUUUUGUGAAAUGAAGUCCUAAAUUUCAAGCCUUGCAGCUUGCACAUGUGUUCCUGUAGGCACCAGGGACUAGUAAGAUUCCACUUAGAACUGGCACUCUUGAUUUUCCUUGCCUUGCACUCGAGAUAUAUGAGAGUUUGUUUAUGUGAGAUUUGGGAGAACAAAGGCAAAUUAAAUCCCACCCUUCCAGUAGGAUAUAUAUUUUUUCAACCUUGAAGCAAAUUUUCUAUGUCUGUGUGUUUUGGCUUUUAAACUCAAUAGCCUGCAGGCAUUAACCAUGUCAGCAAACAAAUGGAAAGCUCAUCACUACACUAUUAGAAGGUUUAAAACUGAAAACCAGAGUCUAUAACAACAGCAAAUGGGAUAUCAAAGACAUGUCCCUCUGCUUGAUCCUUUCACUGAACUGGAGCUGGACGGAUGCUGUGAAGGGUGUUUUGUUGUGCCUGCACACUCCCCAACCAUUUCAGAAUGUUGAAGUGUAAUGGCUUUUUUAUUAUUAUUUAAAUAAUAUUAUUUUAUAUUCUUAUUUGGCCAGAUAAGAAGAAUAAAAACAGAUUAUAGCAUGAGUCGUGGAGGUAAAGGAGUGCUAUGAAUGAGAAUUCACUCCCUCUCAAUUAUUCCUCCAAACAGUGCAUCUGUGAUAGCAGUACCCUGUGAGUUUCACUGGGCAGCUACCUCAGCCCUAUAACUGCCACACAGAUCACUCUAUGCAUUUUACUGAAAAAAAAAAAAAAAGGCAUUGUAAAUUUUGGCAAUUGGAGAUCAUUUAGGCUAUUGUGUGUGUAUGGCACUUGGAUAAAAGGUUGCCUUCUUCUGCCCUGAGCUUCCUAUUCUGCUUCUCACUGGUCCCUUUGGACCGUUAUCCUGCUGAUCUCCAUCGUUUUCUUUCCACUAAACCCCCACCCGUGAUGCUUGCACUACUUGAACUUUUUCCCUACAGACAGCAUUUUCUGAACACUCUAUUUUAUUUUUUGUGACUUCUGGGGACAUUUCCCAUUUCCAGCAUAUCUUUCAGAAUGAUGCACUGAGCUGACUUGGCGCAGAGUGAUAUAAAUCCUACAUUCUUGUACAGGACACAUUUCCACUCCUGUGCCCCACUGUUUUAAUCCUUCAGUGUCCUUCCCCAUGCUGAGGUAGGGCUGUAUGCAACCUCACUUUGCACCCAUAUGAGCAUUGUGCUUGCUUUGAGGUAUGCAGGUUGCAGUCAGAUGGGGAGUGCUAUUUUGGGAGGGCACCACCACCAAAAGCAAAAUGAAUCUGUCACAAAACCACUUCUACAUCAGCAGCAAUUUUAAGCCUUCAUCUGCACAUAUUUCCUAGGAAGGAAGUUUCCUAUAUCCUGCACUGUUGAUUCCCUAAGGGGAAAAAUAUCUGCUUGGAGCAGGUCCUCUAGGGGAUUCAAAGUUCCCCUGAGGAAUGCGUCCCUGAGCCAAAAGCGUCAGGUGCAGCUGAUCACAGUAAGCCUGGGGCUGCUGAAGGGCUGGGAAGGUUGAUGAGGGUGGAAGCAUUUGGGGCUAGAAGCUACAAGCAGGCAGUCUGGAGGUUGAUAGUGCUGUCCAACCCGUGGUCUUUUCUUGGAUAUGUGAUUUUUGCCGAGGUUUGCAGAGGGUUCUUGAGCGGCUGUGCUAGUUAAGUGGUAACUACAGGUAUCAAAUCUCAGUGGCAGAAGGAAAUUGCAUUCUUCAGAGGGGCCUGGAUGUAUGGGAACCUCCAGCAUUUUAUAUCAUUUAUAUCAUUUCAUAUGCUUCAGGUGAGUAUACUGACACUGGCCUUUAAAAGGCAAAGCAAGGAGAGUCAAGCUGGCUGGCUUUGCUUGAAUAGUUCUGUUACUGGGUCUUGGUAGUCACAAGUGCAAAACACAGUUGGUGCUUAGGACCAGUGAUAAAACCCAAUGGAGUGGCUUGAAGCUGUGACAGGGGAGGUUGAGAUUGGAUAUCUGGAAAAGGUUCUUCAGCAGAGGGUGGUGGACAUGGUGUAGGCUCCCCAGGGCAGGGGGCACAGCCCUGCUCUGCCAGAGUUCAAGGAGUGAAUGGAUAAUGCUCUCAGACAGAGGGUUUGGGUGGUCCUGUGUAGAGCCAGAGGUUGGACACAAUGAUCUUCAGGGGUCCCUUCCAACUUGGGAUAUUUUAUGAUUCUUUGAACUUUGAUUUCUGAUACAUGGCAGUGAUAUAUAAAAAUUCUUUGGUCCUGGUGAGAGAGGCUGUGGUUCAAGGUAUUAUCCCCCCAGGGUUUGUUUCUAAUGCUGUGAUGUUUAUUAAGUAUUGCCAGGUGCCUUCUCGAGGUUUCCAGUUGAGUUCUACUGGGACCCGUGGCACUAACUGGUGCCUGAGCUUACACAGAAAACACAAUGCUGGAUUUUUAAGAAUGAGACUUGCUGAUACCAAAUAGCACAGAGACUUUACGUCAUCUGUUAAUACCAGAAAUCAAUUUGAAUUUUGCUUCCACACUGGAAGACAGUUAUAUCUAAACCUUCAGCCCAACCUACCCUUGGUGGGCAAGCCCUGUGUAAUUCAUGCAGAACCAAAGUGGGAAGAUGAUCAUUUCCACUCUCUGGCGGCUUUGGUUGUCUUUAAGGAGACCUGAUGAGGCACAAGAACAGCAUCAUUUAAUCUGUGUCUGAGUGCCUCAGCACAGACACAACAUUGAAUUGAUGACAAAAGUGUGUGGCAGCAGUUACUGCCAUGAGAGUUGUUCUGGGAGAAAACACAAGAAAAUCAUUUAACUCCCUCCCUCACCGCUGUAAGUUAAUUGGGACAUGCUUUAUUCCCAGCACAAUUAUAAAUUUAAAGAUGAGUGCAGCUGAAGAGGGACUGGAUGGUGCACAGCAUAGGCUGGAGCGGAGUUUACAAAAAGCUGCCUUUUAAAUCUUAUGCCUACAUUCUGUUUCUCUCUGGAACAAAAUACGAUACUUCCAGCCUACAAUAUGAAGUGAGUCAUAAUAUUGCCAUUCUGCUCCCAGCAUAAUUGGAGCAUACCUAUGGUAUGAAGUGGGAGAAAUAUUUGGCCAAGAAGAAAGCUCCAGAAUUUUAUGUACUGUCAAGACGUGCUUAAUAAAUAGAGAGUAUUAUUUUCAUAUUGCGUAAUUCAGACUUUCCUCAUUCUGGGGUUGUUUCAGCAAAACAUGCAAGUGUGUGCUUAUCUUUAAUUAGUGUUUAAGCCAAGAUGACUGUUAACAUACUUAUGGGAAGGACUUUUCAAAGGACUAGGCUUCUGUACAUGCAUGGAGGCAACCACAUGCUUGCACCUGCAUAGGGGCUGAAGGAACUCUUCCAGGUAGAUGUGGAGGGUGGGUGUUAGUGGCAGAAAGCACAUAUAUUUGCCAUGAUUUGUGGUCAUUUAUCCUGUGCUGCCGCUUCUUUCCUAAGGACUUCAGCAGUCUCUGCUAUCACCCACGUGAGCAUGGACUCAGCUGCUCAGCUGGAAAGGCUUUAGGGCAGGGUAUGAAGCCCUCAUCCUGACAAUGACAAUGAGCACAUUGCCUUCAGCAGACCAGAUUUCAUUCCCUGCAUGUGAAGAGACUCUGAGACAGAGAGGAAUAAUCAUGUUGCAUGUGGCUGGCUGUGAAAUAUUCUGGCAAAGGAAACAGGGCUUGAUCUUGAACUCUUCCAGGUGAAAAAUACAGUCAGGAGUGAUGUGAACACAAAAUGGCAAGUGAGGCAACACGUGGGUGAAGCUUUGGUCUACGACACCAAUGACUUGGCCUUGGUUCCUGCCCUCAGCUGUGCGACUUUCCCAAUGCCCGUGUCUCCUUCCAAAUUAAAUGGGAGCAUUGAAACAAAUUUGCUUUUAAAUGAAGCCUGAUGAACUCUCCUAUAUCACUGUGGUCAUAUGAGAGACAAUCCACGGGUUGAACUUAAUGUUUAUUUAGUAUAGCUCACUCCUCUAUAUUAACUGCUGUUAUUAUUAACUGCUGUGAUGCCUGCUGUCCAUAGGGCUUUCAUGAUCAAGAAUAUAUAAAAUAACAGUUGUUCAUUUUAUUUUUAAGCAUUCAAUAGCGUGCAGUGAGUUGUUUAACACUAGGCAGUGUGUGCAUUAUGAUGCUGUGCUCUCAUAUGAAGUGUGUUUUUUGACCAAACAGCCCAAAAAUCUCUCUUGCCCUUGGUGAUGAGCACCAGUGAACAUUUGAACCCUCCAGAGUGUGAAGUAAUAAUGGCCAGCUGGUGUCAGUGAGCAAAUGGCUAAGAUAUGAGGAUUAAAUCUGGUUUAUACCACACCACUGAGGACCUCUAAAAGACUGGUUUGGAUUGGUUUUCAGAGGAUUUUGGAACAAUCUUUGCCCUUUCUGAACAGCAACAUUCCUUUGUUCAAGCAGGAUCUUUGGACUUCAGUUCAAGAAUAAAUUCUGGAAAACAGAUGGAUCUACUGCUGCUGAGAUCCUCUGUUCAAAUUAAGAAGAGAAAACCAAUAGGACAUAUAUGCCUAUAUAUAACUUGAAAUUCCUUUCCUUCUGUUUAAACAAUGAAUUGUUAUUGCUGUGCUCACAGGCAGCCUGCAUUCUCUGAGCAGAUUCCAUGUUGUUGAACUGAGAGAUGGAUAAAGUCAGACAUUUCCCAGGAUGUGAUGGUCAGUGAUGGACUGGUACUCAGGAAGCCAAAGAUAAUGCGAUCUGGGUAUGGAAAAAAUGUUUGUCUUCUUGUAAACAUAGGAAAACAGUGAAGACAAAUUAAUUUGAUCUUAUAAAAAUAUAUAUAUAAUCAAUCCAUCAUCAUAAGUUUAUGAUUCCCUUUGUAAUUCUUUAACAAAUUGAAACAAUAAUUUGAAGAAUAUCAGAGCAGUAUAACUUUUGAGCAGCUCGCAUCAGCCAGUGUUCAUUCUAACAAAUUUGCUUUGCUUUACGAUAUUUUUUCUUCAGAGUUUUUCUCCAGCCCUGUUCCUUUGGAUGUAUUGAUUUCCCAUAGGCUUGCAUCUUCUUACACUGAGAUUUGUUUUCUUUCUUUUUUUUUUUUUUGAAGUUGGCUACAUGUCUGGGAAAUACACACCCUUGUGUUCCAAGAGGGCAGAGGGAGGUAUUUCUAGAAAUAGCAAAAUGACAAACAAAUAGUGAGAAAUUCUGGUCUUGGCCACCUUACUAUAAACUCAGCCCAUUGGUCUUUUUUCAGAACUGAGGUUUCCCAUCUGUCAAUGGGUGGAUAUAAAUUCCAGCGGAUGUUGAAGAGACGUCUGGAGUGUAUCCAUUGCACUCCCGGUGUCAGUGAGCAUCACCCAGUUACCAUGUAUUUUUUGCUGACCUAAGGGAAUUUGUGGUCUUCCCUCCAAAUGGGUAAUGGUAAAAAUUCUGAAGUGUCUAACAUUCUCUUCUAUGGCUACUAAGAGUCUCUGAUAGCCAAACUUAAUGAGUGUCUUUUAUAAGCUGGUGGGUUGGGUGCUGAGGAAUGAGCUCUCUGCUGUGCUGCAGAGGAGACCCUGAUGUCAGUGGCAUGACAUUAGCAAUGGGAGAACCAGAAACCUUCAGCCUCCAAGGAAGCUGAAUUAGUGGAUUUGAACCUCACUGGAACAAAAAUGAGGACAGGACAUUUUCCAAGGAACACAGUGUGCUUCUUUUCAAAACUCAGUGACAGAAUUUGAAUGGGCUCUCAAGUUCCAAGUGGUGCCUUCAAAAACUCCAGCAUAAGUUUUAAGGGAGAGAAAGAGGAGAUUUUCCAUCCUCCCACAUUCCAAAGUGCCCAAACAAGAAGAAAAGUCUUCCAGGCAGCCACAUUUUUUCUACACCAGAAAUGACUCCAUUGUACAAAGUGAAUGCCAAGGCCCAGGUUUGUUCUGGUCUUUGCACGUAUUUUUCAAAUCAGUGUUUAUUUUGCCUGAUCUGCCCUGACUUUCUGGUUCCUGUUUCUCUUGUCUCCCAUUGUUGCUGGUGAACUUUGGCCCUUACCGGGAUUAUGGUGGAGUUGCCUUUGUUUGAGGAGGUACAUGGGAGAUUUUUCAAUGCUGUUGUGCUGUGAGAAAAGGAGGGGCAGCACUUUUGGCUUUUCCAUCCCAUUCUACCCUUUUUAUCUCCUCCUGGCUCUCCUCUGGGCUGUAUUUCAUCAGUAGCUAUUCUGACACUUGUGGUUGCUCUUUGCCUGCUCUCCUGUAUUGAGGCAUGGAGCUGCCAUGCCUCUGCCCCAUGCCAAAUGCCAUGUGUGUUCCUCUGCUGACCACUCUCCUUCUUCUGUGCCUACUCUUAAAAUGGAGGGAAAUUAAGCUCAUUUGUUACCAGCUGUAAUUAGCAGGCAUUACAUCUCUGAGAUGGUGAAUGGCUUUAGGACCGUUGCCUUUGUUUAGCAAUGUGCAUCAGUGCAAAUGAUUUGGAGGUAAGUUCCGUAAAGCAGAAACUACAGACACUCUCUAACGGCUUCUGUAAAUUAAUAUAACAAAGCGAGCCAGGAAAAAAAUUCCCAAAUGUGUCUUCUUUGUAAUCUGAAAAGUCUUUGACAAAAGUAAAUUUUGCCAUUAUUAUUAUAUGAACAUUUCCUUGCAUCUCCUGCAAAUAUAUAAGGUGAAAAUUGAUACUUGUUCUUGUGAAAAUAUCAUUGUGUGUCAUAAACCCCCUCAUUCUUAUUUCCUUGAAGCUUAGGACUUUGCAAAGAAAUGCACUAAGGAAAUUGUCUACUUCUUUCAUUUAUUUUAUUGAUCUAAUUACUGGCCUUCUCUUAUAUGCAGUCCUUUCAUUCACUUCAAAGGUUUCCUGACUCAGAUGUGCUUGUACCCAGCUCUGUGAGUCCUCUGAAACCAGAUGAACCCAGCACCUUGUGUGAGCUUAUCUAAUCUUGAAAAGGAUUUCUUAAGAAUCUAUGAUUUCCUCUCUGUUUGGUAUCAAAAUAUGUUUAGCACAAUUUCAUCAUACUGAAUAUCAUCAGACCCAAAAAAAAAAAACCCAAAAAACUACAUAUGAUGGCAAUAGGCAUAAAUAUUUACAACUAGUAAAAAUUCUGUCUAAUUUUAGGUACCCACACCCACCACACUCACAGGGGAAUGAAGCCAGACUCUUUCAGGAUACGCUUCCAGCUCUCUUAAGGAAACAAAUCCAUUUGGACUCUUGGUAAUGCCUUCUCAUUACUUCUGAUGGCUCUAUUUCUAUUCUUACCUGGCAGCUGGAACGGGUUAAAAAGGGCUGCCCAUGUAGGUUAGCUAAAUUCAGUGCUCCUCAGACAGCCCAAAUGAAUUUCUUUAGGUCAAAUGUAAUGCAUAGGAAGAAAUAGGAUUUGGGGCCCUCUGGUGAGGAGGUCCUGGUAAGAACAGACUGUUUAUCUUCUGGCUGAUGGAUGAAUCUAUCUGAUAGCAGUGACUUGGUUUGUUAUCAUGAGAGGUAAUAGAAAGGCAGCUACGUGGAAGGAACCUGAAAGCAUGUGACCCUACCAUAAGAGAGCUCAGAAGCUGGAAUAUAGGUUGUAUUUAAAGAUCAGAAUACAAGCACACAACCUAAUUUCCCUGACUAUGGUGAUAUGUUCCCUAAAUUAUUCAGAACAUUUCAGAGGUCCUCGUCUGUACAUUUCCUGUGUAAUCUGUAGGCAGCAUCAACAGAACGUGGCUACAGACAUCUUCAUCCACAGCCACUGCACAUCACAGUUGAAAUCCUUGACCUGGUAACAAAAGCACUGAGUAUCCCUCAAAGGUGCAGAAUACUGUCUCAUGGAGGGAAGAUGUGCUUUGAAAACCUUCGAAAGCACUUAGGCUAACUUGUUUCGUCUGGAAAUCAAACUUAACGUGGUCUUAUUAGUUACAGCCUGGAUUUAUUAGACAGUACUGUGAUAACAAAAGUCAUCAAAGGAGAGAAGAAAAAAACCAAGCAACUCUAUAGUAGCAUAUACCAGAAAGAUUAAAGACACAAUGAUAGAUAAUUAAUUCUAAGACUGUUUUCUCUUUUCCAAAGCACUUGAUCUCUUCUGUCAUUCUGUUUGCCAGAGCUUGCAAGGAUUGCCAACCAUUGCAUCUCUUCGUAUUGAGGAAGCGUAAAACCACACCUGAGCUCAUACUAUUUGAGGCAUUUUUCCUUGGAAUGUUUUUCUUUGCUACACAGACUUUUCAUUUAGAGGAAGUGGGAGGAAAUCUGCCUUUAGAAAAUAAUGGCUACAAUACAAUUACUGUAAAAUAGAUAAUAGGAGUAACCAACUAGUACUGGCCAGGGGGAUGAUAAUUCAACUUUGUGACAACUUCUGAGGUUUUACAAUUUGUUUUCAUUUUACAGUGGAAUGAAAACAAGACCUUCACAUAUUAUGUUUUCAAUUUAGGUCUUUCUUGCUGCAUUGUCAGGAAUAACCAGGGUGCCCUGGACCUCAAGAAUUUGUCCUUCCAAGUAUUUAAAAAAUGCUUCAACGCUGAUGAAUCAGCAUUUUCUCCUGGUGGGAUAGUUCAUGGUAAAUGCUCUGGCCUGAACUUUGCUAACCCUGCAAGUUCAAAAUGAUGUCCUACGCCCUAAAACAUAUUUGUUACAAAUAACUUCUUUUGUGUUUUAUGCGCUAUUUCCAGACUGUCUUCUCUAAAGCAUACCUUUUUCCUUUAUCCUCUAUGGAUGUACAUCCAUUUUCCACCUUUAUCCAGUUCUUUCCUCCUAUUUUCUUCAGCUUUUCUUGUUUCUCAUGCAGCUUCUUAGGACUUUUGACCUUCCGUAGCUUAUGCACAAGAAGCAAUGCUAAGAUAAUGUUUUAUGGUAUGCUGUAGCAGAGGUUGGCUAGGAAAGAGGUGGCUGCUGGAUGGACUCUGCAACAGAUAGUGGUCACUGCACGGCAGUCCCACAAGCAUCCUGCAAAUCCCUGUCUGUCUGCUCUUUGGUUUUAAUUCUUCUCAGAUGGCAUUUUCCAUCAGGCAGAGCUGACAUCCGUGAGAAGGCAGGAACAUCUGCUCCCAUGCCCUGGCCGGCUGCCGCCCUCACCAGCUCAGCAGCACUUUAGGAAACCAGAAGAGCCACACGGUGGGAAGACCCAAUUCUUUGAGGGAAAAAAAAAAGCAGUGUGGAAAAUAGAGAGGAAAUGCAUCUAUGCAUUCUGAAACAUGGAGACAACAGCAGAAAGGAGAGCAAGAGGUGGAGUGACUUAACAUGGUGCAAAGUACGAGUUGCUUCUGUAGAUGUCUUUGUAUGAAUUGUUUCAUGCAGCUCACCAUGACAUACCAUGAAUGUUAUCAUCCAGGGACAAGGUUCCCUUGUGUUCUCAGGAAUUUCCACCCUGCUGGGCGUAGUCUCAAAACACCAUUUUCCUUGCAAAAUUGUCUCAAGACUCAUUUUUCAAUCUCUUCUGUUCAUACAUUUAAAUAGGAAGCAGGGGGAAAGAAACUCAGUUGGGAGCAACAUAUGGAGACAACACAAGUUAUUCCUGUUUCACCAUUUUCUUGGUAUCGAUUUCCUCUGCCAAACAGUACUUCAAAUUUGGGACCUCUGCAUUUGUACUCCCUGUUGCUUACUUCCUUGGAAGCAUCAGGAAGGACUUACGGUAUUGCUACAAGCAGCUCUUACAGGAAAAGGAAUGAAUUGGGAAAUACACCUCAAGUAAUGGAAGAAUGAAUUAUUUCACCAUUUUAGCCAUUUCCCAAGAGGAAGAGUAGAGGGAAGAAAAUGCAUUUAACACUCUAAAAUAUUGAAAUAACAGGAACCACAUCAACUUCACCCUUCUGGACUUCAACCAAACCGACUGGUUUAGGUAAAUUCCCAGCAGAUCCAAGUGGCAAACUCCAUCAGAGAGUUAUUCUCCAUCAGAGAAUAUUUCUAAGCAUGGCAAGGGAAUUUCUCUAUACUAAUGGUAUUAUGAACUGGAUCAGCUCAUUUGGAGUUCUUUGGACUUAGGCCUGGAUUCUAGCAGAGUAGCAGAAUAUUUUUGAAAUAUGAACUCCCCCUUCAGUAUAGAGUCUGAUCCUGUUUUCAUGGAUGGUAUUCAUGGAAAAUCACUUUCUUGAAGCUGUAUCUCAAAUAUAUAUUUUUAAUGAGAGAUGUUAUUCCCUUGAACUUCUGGAAUAGGCUUUAAGUAUUCACAGCAGUAACUAAAAGGCAAUGAGUUGAAGGGGACCGUACUUGAUUUCUGAGAUUUAAUGGUUACAUAUACAGAACAAAGCAAAGCAGCACUCUUUCUAAAUGUUUAAAUACAGCAUAGAAAUACCCUCCUGGAUUUUGUUUGUGUCCUCACUGAAAAUUUUAAUGGCCAUUUUGCAGAAAGCAAAAUACAGGCUACACUGAAAAGAAAUUACAAACAAUUCUGUGGCAUCCUUUGUGUUUUGACAUAGCAGUGAAGAUGUUUGUGUCAUUCUAGCUAACUAAAAAUAAAGAUGCAAUUACAAAAUA
Gallus gallus (chicken) is the source of this 14799-nucleotide long non-coding RNA. RefSeq lists it as uncharacterized. The transcript has 8 exons. The record is from RefSeq and is a predicted model, not a curated record. Lineage: Eukaryota; Metazoa; Chordata; Aves; Galliformes; Phasianidae.